UACGGGAGGCAGCAGUGGGGAAUAUUGCACAAUGGGCGCAAGCCUGAUGCAGCCAUGCCGCGUGUAUGAAGAAGGCCUUCGGGUUGUAAAGUACUUUCAGUCGUGAGGAAGGUGUUAAGGUUAAUAACCUUAGCAAUUGACGUUAGCGACAGAAGAAGCACCGGCUAACUCCGUGCCAGCAGCCGCGGUAAUACGGAGGGUGCGAGCGUUAAUCGGAAUUACUGGGCGUAAAGGGCACGCAGGCGGUUAAUUAAGUUGGAUGUGAAAUCCCCGGGCUUAACCUGGGAAUGGCAUUCAAGACUGGUUAGCUAGAGUCUUGUAGAGGGGGUAGAAUUCCAUGUGUAGCGGUGAAAUGCGUAGAGAUGUGGAGGAAUACCGGUGGCAAAGGCGGCCCCUGGACAAAGACUGACGCUCAUGUGCGAAAGCGUGGGGAGCAAACAGGAUUAGAUACC
Molecule: ribosomal RNA, 452 nt
Filed under: uncultured bacterium
Lineage: Bacteria
Description: bacterial SSU rRNA
Rfam family: Bacterial small subunit ribosomal RNA
Source: RNAcentral